AUUGAACGCUGGCGGCAGGCCUAACACAUGCAAGUCGAGCGGAUGAAGGGAGCUUGCUCCUGGAUUCAGCGGCGGACGGGUGAGUAAUGCCUAGGAAUCUGCCUGGUAGUGGGGGAUAACGUCCGGAAACGGGCGCUAAUACCGCAUACGUCCUGAGGGAGAAAGUGGGGGAUCUUCGGACCUCACGCUAUCAGAUGAGCCUAGGUCGGAUUAGCUAGUUGGUGGGGUAAAGGCCUACCAAGGCGACGAUCCGUAACUGGUCUGAGAGGAUGAUCAGUCACACUGGAACUGAGACACGGUCCAGACUCCUACGGGAGGCAGCAGUAGGGAAUAUUGGGCAAUGGGCGAAAGCCUGAUCCAGCCAUGCCGCGUGUGUGAAGAAGGUCUUCGGAUUGUAAAACACUUUAAGUUGGGAGGAAGAGCAGUAAGUUAAUACCUGGCUGUUUUGACGUUACCAACAGAAUAAGCACCGGCUAACUUCGUG
Molecule: ribosomal RNA, 484 nt
Filed under: uncultured bacterium
Lineage: Bacteria
Description: partial 16S ribosomal RNA
Rfam family: Bacterial small subunit ribosomal RNA
Source: RNAcentral